AUGCCGCGUGAGUGACGAAGGCCUUAGGGUCGUAAAGCUCUUUCGCCUGUGAUGAUAAUGACAGUAGCAGGUAAAGAAACCCCGGCUAACUCCGUGCCAGCAGCCGCGGUAAUACGGAGGGGGUUAGCGUUGUUCGGAAUUACUGGGCGUAAAGCGCACGUAGGCGGAUCAGAAAGUUGGGGGUGAAAUCCCGGGGCUCAACCCCGGAACUGCCUCCAAAACUUCUGGUCUGGAGUUCGAGAGAGGUGAGUGGAAUUCCGAGUGUAGAGGUGAAAUUCGUAGAUAUUCGGAGGAACACCAGUGGCGAAGGCGGCUCACUGGCUCGAUACUGACGCUGAGGUGCGAAAGUGUGGGGAGCAAACAGGAUUAGAUACCCUGGUAGUCCACACCGUAAACGAUGAAUGCCAGUCGUCGGCAAGCAUGCUUGUCGGUGACACACCUAACGGAUUAAGCAUUCCGCCUGGGGAGUACGGUCGCAAGAUUAAAACUC
RNAcentral lists this ribosomal RNA (490 nucleotides) under Roseovarius tolerans. RNAcentral describes it as "bacterial SSU rRNA". It matches the Rfam family "Bacterial small subunit ribosomal RNA", at positions 394 to 902 of the family's 1533-position model. Lineage: Bacteria; Pseudomonadati; Pseudomonadota; Alphaproteobacteria; Rhodobacterales; Roseobacteraceae. The record is from RNAcentral.